RNAcentral lists this ribosomal RNA (478 nucleotides) under uncultured bacterium. Its description in RNAcentral is "partial 16S ribosomal RNA". It matches the Rfam family "Bacterial small subunit ribosomal RNA", at positions 28 to 507 of the family's 1533-position model. The record is from RNAcentral.
GAUGAACGCUGGCGGCGUGCUUAACACAUGCAAGUCGAACGGGAAUUAUUUUAUUGAAACUUCGGUCGAUUUCAUUUAAUUCUAGUGGCGGACGGGUGAGUAACGCGUGGGUAACCUGCCUUAUACAGGGGGAUAACAGUCAGAAAUGGCUGCUAAUACCGCAUAAGCGCACAGAGCUGCAUGGCUCAGUGUGAAAAACUCCGGUGGUAUAAGAUGGACCCGCGUUGGAUUAGCUGGUUGGUGGGGUAACGGCCCACCAAGGCGACGAUCCAUAGCCGGCCUGAGAGGGUGAACGGCCACAUUGGGACUGAGACACGGCCCAGACUCCUACGGGAGGCAGCAGUGGGGAAUAUUGCACAAUGGGGGAAACCCUGAUGCAGCGACGCCGCGUGAAGGAAGAAGUAUCUCGGUAUGUAAACUUCUAUCAGCAGGGAAGAUAGUGACGGUACCUGACGAAGAAGCCCCGGCUAACUACGUG